This 30-nucleotide non-coding RNA is filed under the name Homo sapiens (human). Lineage: Eukaryota; Metazoa; Chordata; Mammalia; Primates; Hominidae. The record is from RNAcentral.
UUCGUGUACCGCUCGCACUUGGCCAUCCAC